RNAcentral lists this small RNA (21 nucleotides) under Arabidopsis thaliana (thale cress). RNAcentral describes it as "ATSL181840". The record is from RNAcentral. Lineage: Eukaryota; Viridiplantae; Streptophyta; Magnoliopsida; Brassicales; Brassicaceae.
ACAGAACACCCAGCAAAAAAA